Molecule: long non-coding RNA, 680 nt
Organism: Ficedula albicollis (Collared flycatcher)
Lineage: Eukaryota; Metazoa; Chordata; Aves; Passeriformes; Muscicapidae
Exons: 3
Source: RefSeq, a predicted model, not a curated record
CUUCACAGAACCUCAGGAUUGUUAGAGCCUGAAGGGACCUCUGGAAAUCAUCCAGUCCAACUGUCCUGCCAAGGCACGGUCACCCAGAACAGGUGACACAGGAACGUGUCCAGAAAUUUUAAUUCAUCUUUGUGAAACACUAAAUUGCACGAGCUCUUCCCAGGACAGCUGGGCAUGGAGCAGAACAGGGAGCAAACCCAUCACUCCAAGCAGACUUCUAAGAAAGGACUGAAGGGAUGGAAAAUGUGCAAGGGAAUGCGUGAGGUGCUGGAUGGUGAAUUCCCACCACUGGAGUACAGAGAAGAUCAUGACUGAAUCACACAUGGAGCAAGUUUAUUCUCAGUCAUCAGAAUGGCAGAGUGGGAGAGAAGCAAGUGGCUGAAUUCCAAGAAAGCCAUGGAGGGCAAGAGAAGGUUCAAACGACUUGUUUUUAAGUCAUCCUGGAUCCAGAAGAUGAUGUGGGGUUACCACAGCUACAGCUACACCAGAAAGACAAGGCCACAUGCUGGAAUGGAAUUACUGGCAAGCAUGUCACUAAUUACCUGGGGAGUCACAGGGCCUUCUGCAAAACAGACUGGAGAGACACUCCAAGUCCAAGCAAGUGUCAGUUCUGAACAAAGGAACUUGCAAGAAGCUUUUCCUCUGGACACACACAUAAUCCUUCUGGAUUUUUGGGGAGG